CGGGGUGUAGCGCAGCUUGGCAGCGUAUCUGCUUUGGGAGCAGAGGGUCGCAGGUUCAAAUCCUGUCACCCCGACCA
RNAcentral lists this transfer RNA (77 nucleotides) under Eubacteriales Family XIII. Incertae Sedis bacterium. RNAcentral's name for it is "tRNA-Pro". It matches the Rfam family "tRNA". Rfam says of the family: Transfer RNA (tRNA) molecules are approximately 80 nucleotides in length. Their secondary structure includes four short double-helical elements and three loops (D, anti-codon, and T loops). The record is from RNAcentral. Lineage: Bacteria; Bacillati; Bacillota; Clostridia; Peptostreptococcales; Anaerovoracaceae.